Non-coding RNA from Nylanderia fulva, 304 nucleotides. The record is from RefSeq and is a predicted model, not a curated record. Lineage: Eukaryota; Metazoa; Arthropoda; Insecta; Hymenoptera; Formicidae.
UACAGAUUGCAAAAGAGAAAAGAAAAGAUUCCAAAGCGGAUUAAUAUCCGUUGCAAAGCUGAUAGAGCAAAACUGAAUGGCUGGGAUUGCUGGCAAUGCGAAAAAUAUUACAAGGCUUUAACCCUAUCUGAAGAGGAAUUGCAAAAGCGAAGAAAUCAAUGUUCGCGGCAUCGGCACAAGUACGAAAGACCGCGAACACCAGAAGGUUUUUGGGAUCCAGAUUUUCCCGAGAUGUCUCCGUCUCCAUAAGACAUUGUGAAAUUUUAUAUAUUGCUAUUAACAAAAAGAUUAACAAGGAUUAACA